This 253-nucleotide ribosomal RNA is filed under the name uncultured bacterium. RNAcentral's name for it is "partial 16S ribosomal RNA". It matches the Rfam family "Bacterial small subunit ribosomal RNA", at positions 524 to 776 of the family's 1533-position model. The record is from RNAcentral.
UACGAGGGGGGCGAGCGUUGUUCGGAAUUAUUGGGCGUAAAGAGCGUGUAGGCGGCCAGGCAGGUCCGCUGUGAAAACUCGAGGCUCAACCUCGAGAGGUCGGUGGAAACCGUUUGGCUAGAGUCCGGAAGAGGAGAGUGGAAUUCCCGGUGUAGCGGUGAAAUGCGCAGAUAUCGGGAAGAACACCCGUGGCGAAGGCGGCUCUCUGGGACGGUACUGACGCUGAGACGCGAAAGCGUGGGGAGCGAACAGG